Non-coding RNA from Pelobates cultripes (western spadefoot toad), 231 nucleotides. The record is from the annotation of a GenBank genome assembly. NCBI's taxonomy places the organism in Eukaryota, Metazoa, Chordata, Amphibia, Anura, Pelobatidae.
AGCUAUUAUCCUUCUUUUUCUUUACCUAACUAGUGUUGCCUGGUUUUCGUCGUUAUUUGAUCGGGUCAUGUUCUCCCUAUGGUGCAACUUACAUAUCGAGAUUUCACAUGGACGCUAUGUGUUCGCCAGCUAUGCCUUCUAAUGUACCUGUGCUGUGCACUUCUUCAUUGUGUCAUUUCUUAGUAUUUGACUUUAGCAUUGGCAAAAAUGUAAAUGAAGAAUGAAAAAAUG